Molecule: non-coding RNA, 2501 nt
Organism: Microcebus murinus (gray mouse lemur)
Lineage: Eukaryota; Metazoa; Chordata; Mammalia; Primates; Cheirogaleidae
Source: RefSeq, a predicted model, not a curated record
CAUCUGUGCAUUUGGUUUCACACAGACUGAAAGUCUAGAUGAUUGACUUAUUAAACCAAUGACAAAAUGGAUUUUAGAUUUGGUUAGUUUUGCUUUAAGAAGAUGCAGUCUUGGAAAGAAUUGAGGAAAUACUUCCUCAGAGGCAGAGACUUUUUGAAGUGAGGAGAUGUAAAAGAAAUUGCUUUGAGUCGUUUCAAUCUAUUUAGACAAGACCACCUGGUUUGAAUGUUUGUCCCCUCCAAAACUCAAGUUGAAGUUUAAUUCCCAUUGUGGCAGUAUUGAGGGUGGGGCCUUUAAGAGGUGAUGGGAUCAUGAGGGCUCUGCUCUGGUGAGUGGAUUAAUGGGUUAAUGGGUUACAUGGAAGUGACUGGUGGCUUUACAAGAAGAGGAAGGGAGACUUGAGCUAGCACAUUCAGCCCACUAGCCAUGUGACACCCUGUGCCACCUCGGGACGCUGAAGAGUCCCCACCAGCAGGAAGGCCCUCACCAGAUGGCGCCCCUUCUACCUUGAACUUCACAGCCUCCAUAACUGUCUAUUUCCCUCUAAUGACUGGCAGCAAAAACACAGGACAAAGGGCUUCUCUCCCAGGCAUGUGGGAUCUGCAGUGCGGAGAAGGCUGGUGAUGCCAACCAGGAGGAUGGAGAACCCCAAGGCACUUCCAGUGGUGGCCCGGAGCAUUGCUCUGGAGUAUCUGAGUACACCAGCAACUGUUGCCUUCAGAAGUGAACUCUAAGUGGACACAGACAUGUAACUUAGGAACCGUGAUGUGGGUAGUAACCUUAUAGAGUCUCACGGCGCAGGUCCAGGGUGAAUUGGUCCAACCAUGUGGGCAGAGGGCAGAGGGAAGUGUUUAACCAGCAGUGGACCAGAGUGGGUCACAUCAGCAAGGUCAGCGCAGGAGCAAAGUAGCCACUGGGACAAUAGAGGGAUAGUGAUGUCCAUGGCCCAAUACAAAGGGGUGGGAGAGCAUGCACGUUGCUUUCUGUAGCACAUAAGGGCACAGUCAUUUCUCCUAACCCUGGGACACUAGGUCUACUCCUUGAUUCUUCUCAGGAUUGCCAGGUAGGAGAGGCAUGUGUGAGAGAGGAGGGAGCAGAAAAGAAAAUGAACCAGGCAGAGAUGACAUACAAGGCAUAUUCAAUGAGAUUGCCAAGGAGAAAGAAAUAGAUCCCCCUUCCUUUGACAUAAUUUUCAAAUAAUCAUUAUUAUCCAAGACCAUUUCCCCCUUGGGGAUGUUAAGGAGGAAGUAAAGCCACCAGCCCAGUGCUUGAGUCCAUACUUGUGGAUACCCCCUUGAGACACUGGGUGUGUGUUUAGAGGGGGGGCUGCAGUUUCGAGUUAGGUAGGUGGGUUCUAAUGAGCUAAUGAACUUUGGUUCAAAUUGUUAAAGGAAACUGAUGGCUGUUCCCCAAAGUUAAGAAGGCCUGGGUGAUGCUUCUCAGAGUUUAAUGUACCUAAGAGUCACUUGAAGCUUCUGAGUCAGUGGGUGUGGACCGGAGCCUAAAAUUCUACAUUUCUAACAAGCUCUAGGUGCUGCUGUGAUGCUAGUCCACAGACUACCAAAGUAGCAAGGAACUGGGGAACAUUCAGAUGACACUGUAAACGUGGUUUUGCACUCUGUGAUUUUUUUCUCCCUUAACCUCUUGAAAUGCUUUUAUAUAACACCUUACAUGAGCGUAUCCCUCUGAAUAACUGUAUAAUAUUUAGUUGCUUGAAUGUGUAGUGAUUUAUUUGAUCAUUUAUCUUUUGUUUGAAAUUGAAUGUGCUUCCUGUUUUUAGCUGUCAUAAAUGAUGCUGCCAUGAGCAUCCCUGUUCAUAAGUCUGUCUGCUUCUCCGCACCAAAACCUGCAACCAUGUCAGAGCAUUCCAUUAGGACUCAAAAAAACUUAAGAAGAAAAUUAUGUAUAAAAGAAAUUGAAAAUACUGUAUAACAACAAAUAUUGAACAAGCCUGUAAUGUCUGCAUCCAAGGCAUUUGGUGACAGGAAUUGUGCAAUAUUCAGAGAAGUAGAGAGAGUUUUUCUUUCAGUUUUGCUAUAAUGUGUACUUGGAAACUAUGCCAUAAAGUAUAAAGCUCAAAAGUGGCUGGAAUUUCUCCAUAGAAAGUAUUGUAAUUAGAGGUUGUGUCCCAAGAUUCAUAAUAAACUUUUUGAAGGCAAAAAUGCAAGGUGUGUAUUAUUGACCAUCAAAAUUACAGACUAAGUCCUAUGCAAUGGAAAUAAAAUGUACCAUAUACAUAGAAUUUUUAAAAGCUACCAUAUCAUAACUUUUCACAAAAAUUAAUAAACAAGUUAUAUUAAAUGCAAAAUAAUUAAUAUUUUGGCCUCUCUUGUUUACUGCUGUGUCCUUAGGUCCUAGCUUUCGUUAUGGUGACAUCUAGCCCAUAGGGCACCUUCGAAUAGGAAAAGGCACUCCUUCCUGAAGCACUUAACUUCCUUCCAGUUGAAACUUAUGUAUAUUGAUUAUGGUAUGACAAGACAUUGUACUGCCAUCUGCUAGAA